AUGGAUCCGGAAAUGAGGGGUCGUGUUAGGAAGAGGGAGGAGGAGGAUGACGAAAUGAUGUUAUUCAUUUUCCAUGCACUACAUUUGAUAGAGACCAAUGGAGUUGCUCUUAGGGAGCGGAGGAUUCCGUGUCAUACAUCAUCGCUAACAGGCGAGAUGUUUGUUAACGAGUUACUCGAAGGGCACAUCAAAAACUGUCGGGUAGCAUUUAGGAUGGAGCCACGUAUCUUCAAAUCUUUGGCUAAUUAUCUUCGAAGGGAGAAGUUGGUGAAAGAUACCAGAAUUAAAGUCGAAGAGAAACUAGCAUCAUUUCUGUGUAUGUUAUCCCAUAAUUCUUCAUUUGAAGACCUUCAAGUUCGGUUUGGUCACAGCGGGGAUACUUUUCAUUGGCAAAUGAAGAAUUUCUUUGACAUCAUCCCUAUUCUCUCCAAGCAUUUUUUGAAGCCUCCAAAUCCCAGUCAAGUGCAUCCAAAGAUUCAGUCGGACACGAGAUUCUUUCCUUAUUUUUAG
Molecule: ribosomal RNA, 510 nt
Filed under: Triticum aestivum (bread wheat)
Lineage: Eukaryota; Viridiplantae; Streptophyta; Magnoliopsida; Poales; Poaceae
Description: partial small subunit ribosomal RNA
Source: RNAcentral